RNAcentral lists this non-coding RNA (100 nucleotides) under Gottschalkia purinilytica. RNAcentral describes it as "Clostridium purinilyticum THF-I sequence". It matches the Rfam family "THF (Tetrahydrofolate) riboswitch aptamer". Rfam says of the family: THF riboswitch presents a pseudoknot that joins P1-P2 and the loop of P3 and two THF binding. The record is from Rfam by way of RNAcentral. Lineage: Bacteria; Bacillati; Bacillota; Tissierellia; Tissierellales; Gottschalkiaceae.
GGCAGAGUAGGUAAAGCGCGUUAAGUGUUAAAGGAUGGGAUGUUGCCUUUAAACGAAAGAUGCAUUUAAAAAUCUGCGAUACUUUACCGCAUUCGCUGUU